UUUUUUUUAAUCAGAGGCCGAUCAGCCCCUGCAGUUGGCAUGGAUACAGCUUAGGUCAAGCAGAAACACAACUCUUAGAGUGAGGUCAUAAUGGGCUCUAUGCUUUGGCAAAGUGAGAGGCAGUUAACAGCCUCUGCCUUGAUAUUGUCAGGAUGCUGCUUCAUGAAGAUAAAGGGAUCUUUGAAGGCUUCAUUAACAUUUACCACAAGAGGAAAGGUUUUUGAAAGGUUUCUAAAGGACAUUUUCAUGCUGUUUUUUCUGUACUUCUUGAAAAGAAGUGGCAACCAUUCCAAUAUAUUCCAAUGUAUUGGUGUGCUUCAAAGAUCUAAUGUGGCUUUGUCAUUAACCAAAGUGAGAGCAUCUACUGAUGUCUCAAAGAAGAAUGAUAAAUAUUUUCUAUUGUAUUUCAACUCCAUGAGAAAUGUAAGUAUCACGUAUCAAAACUCAGGUAUCAAAAUAAGCAUGGCCAAUCUUGCACAUACCAUGAAGCUCGGCUGGCACUUUGUCAGGGGUUCUUCAGUGCUUAAAUACUGCUGAAUGUUAUUAUGAGAGCCAUAUAUUCUAUGAAGGAAGAGGAGUUGCUCUGAAAGAAAGAGUGGAGCAAGGGAAGAAUGGGUUCACUGAGAAAUUUGGUAUAUCCUUAAGAGGCUGAAAAAAGCAACUGGCCACAUCUACAAGACCAUCCAUCUCAUCUCCGGCAAAACUAUCCUGUAUGUAAAAUAUGUCAGCAGAAUCUUAUUUUGUUUUGCCUCCCAGGCCUUUUUAUGUCGUUCCUUUUAUAUCCCUUGCAACUGCAUCACUGAUUAAUAUUCCAAUUUAUUUUUAAUUUUACACAGCUAUCUCCCCAUUGCUGACUGCUCACCAUGAGCUCCUGCUAUGCUAACUUUCAAAGGGAACAUCAACAGUGUCUAAAAAGUCAUGGGUGAUGUGAAAAAGGCCAGACUAAGAAUCUAGGUAAGAGAUCUAUAUUAGACAAUUACCGUAUUUUUCCAUGUAUAAGACUAUACUUUUGUCUAAAAUCUUUAGACUAAAAAUUGAGGGCUGUCUUAUAUACAGAAGUAAGCUGAGGAGAG
RNAcentral lists this long non-coding RNA (1073 nucleotides) under Pogona vitticeps (central bearded dragon). Its description in RNAcentral is "lncRNA (ENSPVIG00000009660.1)". Lineage: Eukaryota; Metazoa; Chordata; Lepidosauria; Squamata; Agamidae. The record is from RNAcentral.